RNAcentral lists this ribosomal RNA (460 nucleotides) under uncultured bacterium. RNAcentral describes it as "bacterial SSU rRNA". It matches the Rfam family "Bacterial small subunit ribosomal RNA", at positions 344 to 801 of the family's 1533-position model. The record is from RNAcentral.
GGAGGCAGCAGUGAGGAAUAUUGGUCAAUGGGCGCUAGCCUGAACCAGCCAAGUAGCGUGAAGGAUGACUGCCCUAUGGGUCGUAAACUUCUUUUAUAUGGGAAUAAAGUGCAGUAUGUAUACUGCUUUGCAUGUACCUUAUGAAUAAGGAUCGGCUAACUCCGUGCCAGCAGCCGCGGUAAUACGGAGGAUCCGAGCGUUAUCCGGAUUUAUUGGGUUUAAAGGGAGCGUAGGCGGGUUGUUAAGUCAGUUGUGAAAGUUUGCGGCUCAACCGUAAAAUUGCAGUUGAUACUGGCAUCCUUGAGUACAGUAGAGGUAGGCGGAAUUCGUGGUGUAGCGGUGAAAUGCUUAGAUAUCACGAAGAACUCCGAUUGCGAAGGCAGCCUGCUGGACUGUAACUGACGCUGAUGCUCGAAAGUGUGGGUAUCAAACAGGAUUAGAUACCCUGGUAGUCCACACA